GAUGAACGCUGGCGGCGUGCCUAAUACAUGCAAGUCGAGCGAACAGACGAGGAGCUUGCUCCUCUGACGUUAGCGGCGGACGGGUGAGUAACACGUGGAUAACCUACCUAUAAGACUGGGAUAACUUCGGGAAACCGGAGCUAAUACCGGAUAAUAUAUUGAACCGCAUGGUUCAAUAGUGAAAGACGGUUUUGCUGUCACUUAUAGAUGGAUCCGCGCCGCAUUAGCUAGUUGGUAAGGUAACGGCUUACCAAGGCAACGAUGGGUAGCCGACCUGAGAGGGUGAUCGGCCACACUGGAACUGAGACACGGUCCAGACUCCUACGGGAGGCAGCAGUAGGGAAUCUUCCGCAAUGGGCGAAAGCCUGACGGAGCAACGCCGCGUGAGUGAUGAAGGUCUUCGGAUCGUAAAACUCUGUUAUUAGGGAAGACCAAAUGUGUAAGUAACUAUGCACGUCUUGACGGUACCUAAUCAGAAAGCCCCGGCUAACUACGUG
Molecule: ribosomal RNA, 497 nt
Filed under: uncultured bacterium
Lineage: Bacteria
Description: partial 16S ribosomal RNA
Rfam family: Bacterial small subunit ribosomal RNA
Source: RNAcentral